This 514-nucleotide ribosomal RNA is filed under the name uncultured Fusobacterium sp. Its description in RNAcentral is "bacterial SSU rRNA". It matches the Rfam family "Bacterial small subunit ribosomal RNA", at positions 31 to 542 of the family's 1533-position model. The record is from RNAcentral. Lineage: Bacteria; Fusobacteriati; Fusobacteriota; Fusobacteriia; Fusobacteriales; Fusobacteriaceae.
GAUGAACGCUGACAGAAUGCUUAACACAUGCAAGUCAACUUGAACUUCGGUUUGGGUGGCGGACGGGUGAGUAACGCGUAAAGAACUUGCCUCACAGAUAGGGACAACAUUUGGAAACGAAUGCUAAUACCUGAUAUUAUGAUUUUAGGGCAUCCUAGAAUUAUGAAAGCUAUAUGCGCUGUGAGAGAGCUUUGCGUCCCAUUAGCUAGUUGGAGAGGUAACGGCUCACCAAGGCGAUGAUGGGUAGCCGGCCUGAGAGGGUGAUCGGCCACAAGGGGACUGAGACACGGCCCUUACUCCUACGGGAGGCAGCAGUGGGGAAUAUUGGACAAUGGACCAAGAGUCUGAUCCAGCAAUUCUGUGUGCACCAUGAAGUUUUUCGGGAAUGAAAAGUGCUUUCAUCUGGGAAGAACCCAUGACGGUCCCAACUAAAGAAAUGACGGGUAUGUACGUGCCUCAGGGGCGGUAAUACUUUUUUCCCCAAGCUUUUCUCCAGAUUUUUCGGCGCGUCGUC